AAGACUUGUUUCUCCCCCAGGGUAGAGCUUUUGUGACAUCACACUAGAGCUGGAGGUAGAGAUAGUGACCUAGUUCUCAUGGAGUAGCACUGUUUGAGGAGGGCUCACUGGGAACAUGAUACGGUGGUCCCUAGUUUUCCUGGUUUGCCUUCCUCAAAGUAAAAUCUCUGCCUUAUGAAUGAGCUGAACAGGAUCAACUGGGACCCUGCUUUGGAUCAGCAUGACAUGCCUGGGGGGAGUUUCUAAUUUAUGAAUGAGGCUCCUUGGGGAAGAGAGACCUGAUCUCUCUGCUGCUCUUGCCUGGAAUAAAGCUCCUACAACAAGGGACUGAGAGAUGAGAAAAACCUGACAGCAUGCUCUUCACAAGUUGGAAAUGUAGUCCUACACUGAUGCUAUGAGGAAAGGGAGCCUCCAUCUUCAUCACUGUACUUACCAGAAUGAGAGCUCCUGGAACAUUUUCAUAAGAAGUGAUGUGGGGGAAGAAAAAGGACAGGAAUAGAUCUAUCUAUCAGAAAUUUUAUAAAUUUCUGACAUGAAGAAACAACUGGAAGGGAGUGCAGGAUGCCAAGAAGUAUGGAAAUAAUUUUCUCUUGCACUUUCUUUGUAUCAAGGACUGUCCCAGUUAUAUGACCCCUAUAAUAAAGGUGAAAAUAAAUGUUUCCAGAAGAAAAAUGAGUCCAGUGGGAAUGUGUCAAACGUUUUAAUCAACAGCCUAAAUCUUUGGAGGAGAAAUGAUAAGUUCUUCUCAGAGUGGAUACAGAAGAGAUAUAGAAGAUGUGAGGAGGAAGAAGGAAAGAAAGAAUUUCCCCAGCAGCAUAUGUAUUUACUGAUGUCCAUGUUGUGGGUGAUUGGAGUUUGAACCACAGUGGUGACUAUAAGCAUCAGCAUAGAAAGACAUGAAUUUUGGAGACAUUUGGGAAGUCGGAGGCUGCAGUUCUUAGGCUUUUAUUAUUCCUUCCCUAAAGAGCUUUCUCUGACUAUACCCAUCUAUAGGAAUGCUUCUUAAGGGGCAAGGACUAGAUUUAUGUUUUUUCCUAGUCCACCUUGUACUAAUACUUUUGUAAAAAGCAAUAAAAAUAAAUUAGUAGAAAAAUGAAAUAGAAAA
RNAcentral lists this long non-coding RNA (1105 nucleotides) under Vulpes vulpes (red fox). RNAcentral's name for it is "lncRNA (ENSVVUG00000014384.1)". The record is from RNAcentral. Lineage: Eukaryota; Metazoa; Chordata; Mammalia; Carnivora; Canidae.